RNAcentral lists this ribosomal RNA (443 nucleotides) under uncultured bacterium. RNAcentral describes it as "bacterial SSU rRNA". It matches the Rfam family "Bacterial small subunit ribosomal RNA", at positions 958 to 1398 of the family's 1533-position model. The record is from RNAcentral.
AACGCGAAGAACCUUACCAGCUCUUGACAUGCCCGGUAUGGGCGGGAGAGAUCCCGUUCUUCGGUUCGGCCGGCCGGGACACAGGUGCUGCAUGGCUGUCGUCAGCUCGUGUCGUGAGAUGUUGGGUUAAGUCCCGCAACGAGCGCAACCCCCAUCUGCAGUUGCCAGCGGGCAAGCCGGGCACUCUGCAGAAACUGCCGGUGACAAGCCGGAGGAAGGCGGGGAUGACGUCAAGUCCUCAUGGCCCUUAUGGGCUGGGCUACACACGUGCUACAAUGGCGGUGACAGAGGGCGGCAAGCGGGCGACCGUGCGCCAAUCUCCAAAAGCCGUCUCAGUUCGGAUUGGAGUCUGCAACUCGACUCCAUGAAGCUGGAAUCGCUAGUAAUCGUGGAUCAGCAUGCCACGGUGAAUACGUUCCCGGGCCUUGUACACACCGAGUAUA